Molecule: ribosomal RNA, 253 nt
Filed under: uncultured bacterium
Lineage: Bacteria
Description: partial 16S ribosomal RNA
Rfam family: Bacterial small subunit ribosomal RNA
Source: RNAcentral
UACGUAGGCAGCGAGCGUUGUUCGGAGUUACUGGGCGUAAAGCGUGCGUAGGCGGUGGUCCAAGUCUGGUGUGAAAUCUCCCGGCUCAACUGGGAGGGUGCGCCGGAAACUGGGCCGCUGGAGUAUGGGAGAGGCAAGCGGUAUUCCAGGUGUAGCGGUGAAAUGCGUAGAUAUCUGGAGGAACACCCGUGGUGCAGACGGCUUGCUGGACCAUGACUGACGCUGAGGCACGAAAGCGUGGGUAGCAAACAGG